GCUUCAAAUUCAUUCCCAUCUUGAGUGUACAAAUUCUGCAGGCAUGGCUGUUGUUUUGUCUUGUAGCGUAGACAGAAAACAGAGUAGUGGAGGUAGUGGUUGUACACUUGUACUUUGUCAACUCUAUUAAUGAGAGACAAGUGCUCAGUGCUAUCCAUAUAUCCGUUGAUACCUCCCUUUCAAUUCUUCGUUCUUCUUUGAUAAGACUGAAUUGAGAAUCAGCUACUUUGAAUCUUCAGUUUGAUUAAAGGAUCAAACGUAGCUUCUGGUGAAGAUAUUGCUUCUGAUAAAAACUUUUGCUUCUGAUGACCUUCUGCUUCUGAUGACGUCAUCUCUUCAGGAUCACUUCAGCUUCAGGAGCAGUUUUCUUCAGAUGCUCAGAAUUUCUUUUUCUUUCCAUUGUUCUUCCAAGACCUAUUGAAAUAACUUGAGUAGCCUUUGGUCCUGUACACUUGAACAAUUAUUAGUAAUAACCAAUUGACAAUUUUUAAUACCUUGU
Molecule: long non-coding RNA, 499 nt
Filed under: Medicago truncatula (barrel medic)
Lineage: Eukaryota; Viridiplantae; Streptophyta; Magnoliopsida; Fabales; Fabaceae
Description: lncRNA gene22531
Source: RNAcentral